AUUGAACGCUGGCGGCAUGCUUUACACAUGCAAGUCGAACGGCAGCGCGGGCUUCGGCCUGGCGGCGAGUGGCGAACGGGUGAGUAAUGCAUCGGAACGUGCCCAGUAGUGGGGGAUAGCCCGGCGAAAGCCGGAUUAAUACCGCAUACGACCUGAGGGUGAAAGCGGGGGACCGAAAGGCCUCGCGCUAUUGGAGCGGCCGAUGUCGGAUUAGCUAGUUGGUGGGGUAAAGGCUUACCAAGGCGACGAUCCGUAGCUGGUCUGAGAGGACGACCAGCCACACUGGGACUGAGACACGGCCCAGACUCCUACGGGAGGCAGCAGUGGGGAAUUUUGGACAAUGGGGGCACCCCUGAUCCAGCCAUGCCGCGUGCGGGAAGAAGGCCUUCGGGUUGUAAACCGCUUUUGUUCGGGAAGAAAUCCUCUGGGCUAAUACCCCGGGGGGAUGACGGUACCGGAAGAAUAAGCACCGGCUAACUACGUG
This 484-nucleotide ribosomal RNA is filed under the name uncultured bacterium. RNAcentral describes it as "partial 16S ribosomal RNA". It matches the Rfam family "Bacterial small subunit ribosomal RNA", at positions 28 to 507 of the family's 1533-position model. The record is from RNAcentral.